RNAcentral lists this ribosomal RNA (490 nucleotides) under uncultured bacterium. Its description in RNAcentral is "partial 16S ribosomal RNA". It matches the Rfam family "Bacterial small subunit ribosomal RNA", at positions 30 to 507 of the family's 1533-position model. The record is from RNAcentral.
AUUGAACGCUGGCGGCAUGCCUUACACAUGCAAGUCGAACGGCAGCAUGAUCUAGCUUGCUAGAUUGAUGGCCAGUGGCGAACGGGUGAGUAAUACAUCGGAACGUGCCCUGUAGUGGGGGAUAACUAGUCGAAAGAUUAGCUAAUACCGCAUACGACCUGAGGGUGAAAGUGGGGGACCGCAAGGCCUCAUGCUAUAGGAGCGGCCGAUGUCUGAUUAGCUAGUUGGUGAGGUAAAGGCUCACCAAGGCGACGAUCAGUAGCUGGUCUGAGAGGACGAUCAGCCACACUGGGACUGAGACACGGCCCAGACUCCUACGGGAGGCAGCAGUGGGGAAUUUUGGACAAUGGGCGAAAGCCUGAUCCAGCAAUGCCGCGUGUGUGAAGAAGGCCUUCGGGUUGUAAAGCACUUUUGUCCGGAAAGAAAUGGCUCUGGUUAAUACCUGGGGUCGAUGACGGUACCGGAAGAAUAAGGACCGGCUAACUACGUG